GAUGAAGAACGUAGCGAAAUGCGAUAAGUAAUGUGAAUUGCAGAAUUCAGUGAAUCAUCGAAUCUUUGAACGCACAUUGCGCCCGCCAGUAUUCUGGCGGGCAUGCCUGUUCGAGCGUCAUUUCAACCAUCAAGCCCCCGGCUUGUGUUGGGAACCUGCGGCUGCCGCAGGCCCUGAAAAGCAGUGGCGGGCUCGCUGUCACACCGAGCGUAGUAGCAUACAUCUCGCUCUGGGCGUGCUGCGGGUUCCGGCCGUUAAACCACCUUCAUAACCCAAGGUUGACCUCGGAUCAGGUAGGAAGACCCGCUGAACUUAAGCAUAUCAAUAAGCGGAGGA
Molecule: unclassified non-coding RNA, 336 nt
Filed under: soil metagenome
Description: partial contains 5.8S ribosomal RNA, internal transcribed spacer 2, and large subunit ribosomal RNA
Rfam family: 5.8S ribosomal RNA (bases 1-120)
Source: RNAcentral